GUAUCUGGGCUCAGGCGGGACCACCCGCUGAACUUAAGCAUAUCACUAAGCGGAGGAAAAGAAACUAACUAGGAUGUCCCCAGUAACGGCGAGUGAAGCGGACAAAGCCCAAGAUGGUAAUCUCCAUGUUUCACAUGGCGAAUUGUAAUCUGUAGAAGUUUGACUUACCGGGUGGUAACGCAGAAGUGAUCUGGAACGGUCCGCCAAAGAAGGUGAUAGCCCUGUCUGUAGUGUUGCCGCCUAACGAGUCUUAUUUCAAAGAGUCGGGUUGUUUGGUAUUGCAGCCCUAAGUGGGAGAUAAACUUCUUCUAAGGCUAAAUAUAUGUGGGAAACCGAUAGCGAACAAGUACUGUGAAGGAAAGAUGAAAAGCACUUUGAAAAGAGAGUCAAAAGACCUGAAACCGUUGAGGAGGAAGCGGUAGAGAUGAAUUCUAGGGGAGACUUGUGCGUAACCUAAGUUAUGAGUGUGGUGGCAGUGUCAUCAUAUUUAUUUAACGGAAGUUAUAUGAGUUGCCUCUUGAGGCCGGAUGGAGUGAUGAGAUUAUAGAGGUUUUUUAAGUUUGGCUGUGCUUGCAUGGCAACUUGAAAAUAUCGAUAAACUCAUGGCUUGAGGAGCUUUGUGCGAUCCGGUCAAAAUGGUCUUUACCGACUCGUCUUGAAACACGAACCAAGGAGUCUAACGUACGCGCGAGUGUGCCGGUUCAAAAACCGAUACGCGUAAUGAAAGUAAAAGAUGCCAAACUUGUGCAGCAUCGACCGACCAUGAUUCUUUGAUGAAAGGUUUGAGUACGAGCGCGUCCGCUAGGACCCGAAAGAUGGCGAACUAUGCCUGCGUAGGGUGAAGCCAGGGGAAACUCUGGUGGAGGCUCGAAGCGAUACUGACGUGCAAAUCGUUCGUCGAACGUGGGUAUAGGGGCGAAAGACUAAUCGAACCAUCUAGUAGCUGGUUCCCUCCGAAGUUUCCCUCAGGAUAGCUGGGACAAUUGCGCAGUUUUAUUAGGUAAAGCGAAUGAUUAGAGGCCUCGGGGGCUACAGGCCCUCGACCUAUUCUCAAACUUUAAAUUGGUAAGAACCCGGGCCUAUCUUAAGUGAGGCUCCGGGGUUCAAUGCGUGUCCUUAGUGGGCCAUUUUUGGUAAGCAGAACUGGCGAUGAGGGUUGCUCCUAACGUUGGGUUAAGGCGCCAAACUACGCGCUCAUCAGAAACUACAAAGGGUGUUGGUCCAUCCAGACAGCAGGACGGUGGCCAUGGAAGUCGGAACCCGCUAAGGAGUGUGUAACAACUCACCUGCCGAAUGGACUAGCCCCGAAAAUGGAUGGCGCUUAAGCGCGUGGCCGAUACCCAACCAUCGCCGCGAGAGUGAGGCGGCGAUGAGUAGGAGGGCGUGGGCGUCGUUGUGAAGCCUCUGGCGUAAGCCUGGGUUGAACGUCGUCUAGUGCAGAUCUUGGUGGUAGUAGCAAUUAUUCAAAUGAGAAUUUUGAAGGCCGAAGUGGAGAAGGUUUCCGUGAGAACAGCAAUUGGUCACGGGUGACUCGAUCCUAAGACAUGGGGGAAGUCCCUGUUAAGUGUACGUUUGUACGUAGUCGAAAGGGAAUGAGGUUAAUAUUCCUCAAGCUGGAUGUGGGUGUUGUAUGGCAACAUAAGUGAGCAUGGGAACGCCGGUACGAGCCUCUGGAAGAGUUAUCUUUUCUUUUUAACAGUCUAAUGACCCUGAAAUGGUGUUAUACCGAGAUAGGGUGAUAUGUCUGGAAGAGCGCCUCGCUUUCUGAGGCGUCAGGUGCGCUCGUGACGGUCCGUGAAAACCCAUGUGAGAUAAUUUCACACCAGGUCGUACCCAUAACCGCAUCAGGUCUCCAAGGUU
This 1860-nucleotide ribosomal RNA is filed under the name Omegastrombidium cf. elegans. RNAcentral's name for it is "LSU rRNA". It matches the Rfam family "Eukaryotic large subunit ribosomal RNA", at positions 1 to 1874 of the family's 3401-position model. The record is from RNAcentral. Lineage: Eukaryota; Ciliophora; Spirotrichea; Strombidiidae.